AUGAACGCUGGCGGCGUGCCUAAUACAUGCAAGUCGAGCGAACAGACGAGGAGCUUGCUCCUCUGACGUUAGCGGCGGACGGGUGAGUAACACGUGGAUAACCUACCUAUAAGACUGGGAUAACUUCGGGAAACCGGAGCUAAUACCGGAUAAUAUAUUGAACCGCAUGGUUCAAUAGUGAAAGACGGUUUUGCUGUCACUUAUAGAUGGAUCCGCGCCGCAUUAGCUAGUUGGUAAGGUAACGGCUUACCAAGGCAACGAUGCGUAGCCGACCUGAGAGGGGGAUCGGCCACACUGGAACUUGGACACGGUCCAGACUCCUACGGGAGGCAGCAGUAGGGAAACUUCCGCAAUGGGCGAAAGCUUGACGGAGCAACGCCGCGUGAGUGAUGAAGGUCUUCGGAUCGUAAAACUCUGUUAUUAGGGAAAAACAAAUGUGGAAGUAACUAUGCACGUCCUGACGGUACCUAAUCAGAAAGCCACGGCUAACUACGUG
Molecule: ribosomal RNA, 496 nt
Filed under: uncultured bacterium
Lineage: Bacteria
Description: partial 16S ribosomal RNA
Rfam family: Bacterial small subunit ribosomal RNA
Source: RNAcentral